GAAGCUCUCAACCCUAUCAUGGCCAUCGUUCAUUUCCAGACAUUCCCAUUCUUUCUUAACGUAGAGGGCUGCACCACUGCCUUUCCUGCCUUGCCUCUCUCUUUUGAAAAGUCGCUAGCCAUCCAUCACAGCACUCCAGCUGUGUGAGUCAUUCCACCACGUUUCUGUGAUUUUUCUCCUGUUUUUGGAUUCCAAGAAAAGCCAGGUAGGAUUAUUUUUAUUGUUAUUCUUUUUUUAAUGGCAGGCAUUGUGUUCAACUUAAAAAAGGAACGCAUGAAGAAUAGCUUUGUUUGCAUUCUGGUGAGUGUUUCUCUUCCAGAUCUUUGAAUCAGCUUUCUACACGGCUUAAGCGAUGGAACAGGAAAGACUCCAAUAUGGUAACAACGUGAUUUCUAGUGUUUUGGAAAGAUUGUUUCACGUGUAAUGAAAAGCUAGUGUCCAGAUGAUCACUGCGGCCAGAUGGCAAUUUUGAUGCC
Long non-coding RNA from Gallus gallus (chicken), 476 nucleotides. RefSeq lists it as uncharacterized. NCBI's taxonomy places the organism in Eukaryota, Metazoa, Chordata, Aves, Galliformes, Phasianidae. The transcript has 3 exons. The record is from RefSeq and is a predicted model, not a curated record.